GACGAACGCUGGCGGCGUGCUUAACACAUGCAAGUCGAACGGAAAGGCCCUGCUUUUGUGGGGUGCUCGAGUGGCGAACGGGUGAGUAACACGUGAGUAACCUGCCCUUGACUUUGGGAUAACUUCAGGAAACUGGGGCUAAUACCGGAUAGGAGCUCCUGCUGCAUGGUGGGGGUUGGAAAGUUUCGGCGGUUGGGGAUGGACUCGCGGCUUAUCAGCUUGUUGGUGGGGUAGUGGCUUACCAAGGCUUUGACGGGUAGCCGGCCUGGGAGGGUGACCGGCCACAUUGGGACUGAGAUACGGCCCAGUCUCCUACGGGAGGCAGCAGUGGGGAAUAUUGCACAAUGGGCGGAAGCCUGAUGCAGCAACGCCGCGUGCGGGAUGACGGCCUUCGGGUUGUAAACCGCUUUCGCCUGUGACGAAGCGUGAGUGACGGUAAUGGGUAAAGAAGCACCGGCUAACUACGUG
Molecule: ribosomal RNA, 468 nt
Filed under: uncultured bacterium
Lineage: Bacteria
Description: partial 16S ribosomal RNA
Rfam family: Bacterial small subunit ribosomal RNA
Source: RNAcentral